RNAcentral lists this ribosomal RNA (254 nucleotides) under uncultured bacterium. Its description in RNAcentral is "partial 16S ribosomal RNA". It matches the Rfam family "Bacterial small subunit ribosomal RNA", at positions 524 to 776 of the family's 1533-position model. The record is from RNAcentral.
CACGUAGGGGCCAAGCGUUGUCCGGAUUUAUUGGGCGUAAAGAGCUCGUAGGCGGCUCGGUAAGUCGGGUGUGAAACCUCCAGGCUCAACCUGGAGACGCCACCCGAUACUGCUGUGGCUAGAGUCCGGUAGGGGAGCGUGGAAUUCCUGGUGUAGCGGUGAAAUGCGCAGAUAUCAGGAGGAACACCAGCGGCGAAGGCGGCGCUCUGGGCCGGAACUGACGCUGAGGUGCGAAAGCGUGGGGAGCAAACAGG